RNAcentral lists this unclassified non-coding RNA (160 nucleotides) under uncultured Lecanicillium. RNAcentral's name for it is "partial internal transcribed spacer 2". Lineage: Eukaryota; Fungi; Ascomycota; Sordariomycetes; Hypocreales; Cordycipitaceae. The record is from RNAcentral.
CAACCCUCGACUUCCCUUUGGGGAAAUCGGCGUUGGGGACCGGCCGUAUACCGCCGGCCCCGAAAUGAAGUGGCGGCCCGUCCGCGGCGACCUCUGCGUAGUAAUCCAACUCGCACCGGAACCCCGACGUGGCCACGCCGUAAAACCCCCGACUUUCUGA